AGCAAUUAUAUGAACAAGUGAGAUCAUUGAUGUUAGUCUAUAAAUCAUUUACCUGAAGAUCACCGACUUUGAUUCCAAACAAGUACUAUAUAGAAUUAAACUGGUUCCUUGUAUUUUAUCUGAUUAUCUCUACCAGUGACUGGUAACGAGUGUGACUCAGAUGCCCGUAUGUUCCAAGAGAGAUAACAAGCUUACACAGAAAAC
This 204-nucleotide long non-coding RNA is filed under the name Mytilus galloprovincialis (Mediterranean mussel). The record is from RNAcentral. Lineage: Eukaryota; Metazoa; Mollusca; Bivalvia; Mytilida; Mytilidae.